Molecule: ribosomal RNA, 253 nt
Filed under: uncultured bacterium
Lineage: Bacteria
Description: partial 16S ribosomal RNA
Rfam family: Bacterial small subunit ribosomal RNA
Source: RNAcentral
UACGGGGGGGGUAAGCGUUGUUCGGAAUUACUGGGCGUAAAGGGCUCGUAGGCGGCCAACUAAGUCAGACGUGAAAUCCCUCGGCUUAACCGAGGAACUGCGUCUGAUACUGGAUGGCUUGAAUCCGGGAGAGGGAUGUGGAAUUCCAGGUGUAGCGGUGAAAUGCGUAGAUAUCUGGAGGAACACCGGUGGCGAAGGCGGCAUCCUGGACCGGUAUUGACGCUGAGGAGCGAAAGCCAGGGGAGCAAACGGG